RNAcentral lists this ribosomal RNA (163 nucleotides) under Brassica napus (rape). RNAcentral describes it as "5.8S ribosomal RNA". It matches the Rfam family "5.8S ribosomal RNA". From Rfam's summary of the family: 5.8S ribosomal RNA (5.8S rRNA) is a component of the large subunit of the eukaryotic ribosome. It is transcribed by RNA polymerase I as part of the 45S precursor that also contains 18S and 28S rRNA. The record is from RNAcentral. Lineage: Eukaryota; Viridiplantae; Streptophyta; Magnoliopsida; Brassicales; Brassicaceae.
AAAUGACUCUCGGCAACGGAUAUCUCGGCUCUCGCAUCGAUGAAGAACGUAGCAAAAUGCGAUACUUGGUGUGAAUUGCAGAAUCCCGUGAACCAUCGAGUCUUUGAACGCAAGUUGCGCCCCAAGCCUUCUGGCCGAGGGCACGUCUGCCUGGGUGUCACAA